AAGGAGCACCACGAGAAUCAGGCCCGCCCACAUCGUGUGGGGGUUCGGUGAUCUGAUCGAUUCGUUGGAUGGCCUUUCAUCUGUAGUGGAUGGGGGUCUGGUGCACAUGACAAACUUGGCCGAGCCGGUAGGGAAUGCCGGCGAGGGAAAUCAUCAGACACACUAUUGGGCUUUGAGACAACAAGCCCGUGCCCCUUUUUUUGGGGGUGGCUCUGCGUUGGCAGGGUCGGCGUGUUGUUGCCCCGCUUUGGUGGUGGGGUGUGGUGUUUGAUUCGUGGAUAGUGGUUGCGAGCAUCUGAAUGCACAGCGCUUGUGGUGUUGUGUGUUCGGUGUAAUGCAAAUUUUUCUGAUACUCGCAUGCAGUCCCUUUUUGGGGGUGUGUGUGGGUGACUCAUUUUUUGGUUUUGUGUUGUAAGUGUUUAAGGGCGC
RNAcentral lists this unclassified non-coding RNA (429 nucleotides) under Mycolicibacterium vaccae. Its description in RNAcentral is "16S-23S intergenic spacer region". The record is from RNAcentral. Lineage: Bacteria; Bacillati; Actinomycetota; Actinomycetes; Mycobacteriales; Mycobacteriaceae.